This 253-nucleotide ribosomal RNA is filed under the name uncultured bacterium. RNAcentral describes it as "partial 16S ribosomal RNA". It matches the Rfam family "Bacterial small subunit ribosomal RNA", at positions 524 to 776 of the family's 1533-position model. The record is from RNAcentral.
UACGUAGGUGGCAAGCGUUGUCCGGAUUUAUUGGGUUUAAAGGGUGCGUAGGUGGCCCUGUAAGUCAGUGGUGAAAUAUCUCAGCUUAACUGAGAGGGUGCCAUUGAUACUGCAGGGCUUGAGUACAGAUGAGGUAGGCGGAAUUGACGGUGUAGCGGUGAAAUGCAUAGAUAUCGUCAAGAACACCGAUAGCGAAGGCAGCUUACCAAGCUGUAACUGACACUGAGGCACGAAAGCCAGGGGAGCGAACGGG